CGAAAAUGGAAACAGAAAACACUGAUGAUGCACAUUCAUCGUUAUUAGAGAAAAUGCGCAACAUAGGAAAGAUGUACCGACUCUUUCGGAAUCAAAACUCAAGCAAUUCUCCAACAUGGGAUAAGGAAUCAAGACAUAAAAAAGAUUAUAGACAAUCUUACCGAACAGGCCAAUAUCACCACCAUUCAGUCUCCCGUUAAGGCACUUGAGGAGCAAUAUUUUAAACCUCCUCUGAAAAAAUGCCCAAAUUGCGGCAAAAUGAAGAAAGCCGGGAGGCAGGUGGUGAAUGUCGUAGAUGCAGUACGAAGGUUCGUAUAUUUUGGGAAGCAUCCUCAACAACCUUCGAGCCAACGCUGAUGCACUUUGAGCCGGAAAGAGUAAAUUCAGGAUCGUUUUCGAAUUUUUCUACUGGUUCUGGAAGUAAAAGAACAAUAUCUUGUUCGGGUUCGUAUGCAUCUUCCUCCGUUGGUUCGAAUUAUCAAUGUACAAGUCGAAGAACAUCUACUUCGUCACGAUCUUCAGUAUAUCCUGAUUCCCCAAUCGUUUCUGGUACUCUAAAUCUACAGUGGGUCUACUAGUGGCGAUGAGCGGGAACCACAUUCGCGACACACCAUCGUGAUUGUAGAAUCAUAUCAAGCAGCAGAUCACCAUCGGAAGAUUACUCAUGUAGCUCUCGAGGAGGUCCACAUCACGUAGGAGUCAUUAUUCUAAGGUUUUUGUCGUGUGUAUUUACUUACAGAAGUUUCUUCAAUCUUACAAGUGGAUAUAAACAUAAUGCAGUAGUAAGAUGAAGAAACUUUUGUAAGUAAAUACACUGGAUUCUGUAUUUGAAUAGUUCAAUGUUAGUGUUUUCAUUCAUUUGCUUCUUUUUUGUAUUAGAAUUUCUUUUGUAAAUACACCAUUUUUGGUUGGUA
This is a long non-coding RNA of Papaver somniferum (opium poppy), 914 nucleotides long. RefSeq lists it as uncharacterized. NCBI's taxonomy places the organism in Eukaryota, Viridiplantae, Streptophyta, Magnoliopsida, Ranunculales, Papaveraceae. The transcript has 3 exons. The record is from RefSeq and is a predicted model, not a curated record.